Molecule: long non-coding RNA, 1610 nt
Filed under: Sorghum bicolor (sorghum)
Lineage: Eukaryota; Viridiplantae; Streptophyta; Magnoliopsida; Poales; Poaceae
Description: long non-coding RNA (SBIC_LNC018613)
Source: RNAcentral
CGAGGUGUAAGUGGUGUUUCGUUACAAUCAUCUGCCCCUGGCAUGGUUCAAAGACAACGACAACAAAAAGGCAAGUGAAGAAAUAAAAGCCCUACAACUACUAGGAUGUAGCUACAGCAAGUCGCUCACACUCAACCUGUAACACAAGUUCUUACCAAUUCUUACCUUGCUUGACAGGAGGGGUCGUCUGCCAACAAGUGUACAGCAAUGGACGAAGUGUAUCGGUGCUGCAGCACAAGACCUGUCAAGCUGUAGAGUAUGUGGAGCUAUAGGUGGGCUGAAACAAGGAACGAACUAGCACCACGUUAGUUAUAAAAGCGAGCUGAAUAAGCGUUCGACGAUGGUACUGUGCUGGUCCUAGGCUAGACCAUGCUAGAGACGCGAGCCUGGACACAAAGGGAAAACACAGCACACCACUAGAAACAAAAUGAGUAGCCCUACUGGAAACAAAAGGAACAACAAUCCCCUUUUUUUGAUUUUUUUUCUUUCUUUCUUUCUUUCUUUUUUUUUAUUUUUUUUUCUUUCUCUUUUCUUUUUUUUGGGGAACCUCAAAACCUGAUUAUAUAAACAAAAUAGUACAAAAUAUCACUUCACCACUCUCACCCUCUCACUAGAGUAAGGCUGAACCUCAAAAUUCAAUAUAUCUAGCACAAGUAUGAAGUGCUAUCUUUCCUUUUCGAUCACAUUGAUGGAAACGCAGAAUAGACCAACAAGUGGCUGCACCUAUUAUCAAGAUCUACUCAAAUUCCAACCCACAAUAGAUUGGACACAGUUGUGACUAGAUGGUGACAAGAACUCAAAUCUCUAAAGGACUAAACUAAAACCAGCACUGGACAAGACCGAAGCAAAACCCUCAUUCAACCAGCCCUAACUAAGUAGUACUAGCCACGGCACAAAGGAUUUAUAGGAUUAUGGAAAACAAAUCUGCUAUAUUUUUUGGCUUUUUUUUGGACUAUAGGAAAAACAAACACGAAGAAUUGGAAAUCUCUCACCGAUAAACCUUGCUCUGAUUACCAACUGAUGCGAACCCGCUAGGGUUUUUGGCCUGAUCUUUCGAUGAGAGGCGCUGGAUAACUCGAUUAGUGGAUGGAGAUGACGUUCACGGCCCAACUACAGCCCUCAAGACCGCGCCUUAGCAACCGAUACACCACGUCCAACAGCUGUCACGAUCUUGUGGAGCGCGACAACCAGCCCCUAGGGCUCCCGUCCUGCAAGCAAUCGAAGAACUAGCAAGAACGAGGAAACAAGCACUGAAUUUGCAAGAUGAAUUGAAGGUUCCAAACUGAAUCUGAAUCAACAAUGGGGUUCUGAAGACAAGGAGACGGGCGGCUGAUCCUGCACGCGCGCCUACAAGCAAGUAGCGAAGGCUAAACUUGAUCUAAACAAAACCCAGUUGUUCUUGGUGGCUCUAGAUGUAAAUAAAUAGAGGGGAGGACGACCAAAGGGGUGCUAGAGUCGUCCUCCAACCCUAGGACGCGUCCCGAAUGGACUCAACUUGAUACAUGGGCCAUUGGUCCAAAAUAGGGUGACGCAGCACCAAAACAGAAAAAGGUGUCGGCACGAAAACAAGGACUGCGCCCGACUCAUAAGCUGCAUAGAUAUGUGGUUGG